GCGAAGGUGGCGGAAUUGGUAGACGCGCUAGCUUCAGGUGUUAGUGUCCUUAGGAUGUGGGGGUUCGAGUCCCCCCCCUC
RNAcentral lists this transfer RNA (80 nucleotides) under Citrobacter sp. Cb002. RNAcentral describes it as "tRNA-Leu". It matches the Rfam family "tRNA". From Rfam's summary of the family: Transfer RNA (tRNA) molecules are approximately 80 nucleotides in length. Their secondary structure includes four short double-helical elements and three loops (D, anti-codon, and T loops). Further hydrogen bonds mediate the characteristic L-shaped molecular structure. tRNAs have two regions of fundamental functional importance: the anti-codon, which is responsible for specific mRNA codon recognition, and the 3' end, to which the tRNAs corresponding amino acid is attached (by aminoacyl-tRNA synthetases). tRNAs cope with the degeneracy of the genetic code in two manners: having more than one tRNA (with a specific anti-codon) for a particular amino acid; and 'wobble' base-pairing, i.e. permitting non-standard base-pairing at the 3rd anti-codon position. RNAcentral also lists the same sequence under 11 other names. The record is from RNAcentral. Lineage: Bacteria; Pseudomonadati; Pseudomonadota; Gammaproteobacteria; Enterobacterales; Enterobacteriaceae.